RNAcentral lists this ribosomal RNA (465 nucleotides) under Vreelandella stevensii. RNAcentral's name for it is "partial 16S ribosomal RNA". It matches the Rfam family "Bacterial small subunit ribosomal RNA", at positions 338 to 795 of the family's 1533-position model. The record is from RNAcentral. Lineage: Bacteria; Pseudomonadati; Pseudomonadota; Gammaproteobacteria; Oceanospirillales; Halomonadaceae.
CCUACGGGGGGCUGCAGUGGGGAAUAUUGGACAAUGGGGGGAACCCUGAUCCAGCCAUGCCGCGUGUGUGAAGAAGGCCCUCGGGUUGUAAAGCACUUUCAGUGAGGAAGAACGCCUGGUGGUUAAUACCCAUCAGGAAAGACAUCACUCACAGAAGAAGCACCGGCUAACUCCGUGCCAGCAGCCGCGGUAAUACGGAGGGUGCGAGCGUUAAUCGGAAUUACUGGGCGUAAAGCGCGUGUAGGUGGCUUGAUAAGCCGGUUGUGAAAGCCCCGGGCUCAACCUGGGAACGGCAUCCGGAACUGUCAAGCUAGAGUGCAGGAGAGGAAGGUAGAAUUCCCGGUGUAGCGGUGAAAUGCGUAGAGAUCGGGAGGAAUACCAGUGGCGAAGGCGGCCUUCUGGACUGACACUGACACUGAGGUGCGAAAGCGUGGGUAGCAAACAGGAUUAGAUACCCCAGUAGUC